Molecule: ribosomal RNA, 459 nt
Filed under: uncultured bacterium
Lineage: Bacteria
Description: partial 16S ribosomal RNA
Rfam family: Bacterial small subunit ribosomal RNA
Source: RNAcentral
CCUACGGGAGGCAGCAGUGAGGAAUAUUGGUCAAUGGGCGGGAGCCUGAACCAGCCAAGCCGCGUGAGGGAAGAAGGUACAGCGGAUUGUAAACCUCUUUUGUCAGGGAACAAAGGCGGGGACUAGUCCCCGGAUGAGGGUACCCGAAGAAAAAGCAUCGGCUAACUCCGUGCCAGCAGCCGCGGUAAUACGGAGGAUGCGAGCGUUAUCCGGAUUUAUUGGGUUUAAAGGGUGCGCAGGCGGACGCGAAAGUCAGCGGUAAAAGUGCGGGGUUCAACCUCGGCCCGCCGUUGAAACUGGGGGUCUGGAGUGGGAGAGAAGUACGCGGAAUGCGCGGUGUAGCGGUGAAAUGCUUAGAUAGCACGCAGAACCCCGAUUGCGAAGGCAGCGUACCGGCUCCCCACUGACGCUGAUGCACGAAAGCGUGGGUAUCGAACAGGAUUAGAUACCCGAGUAGUC